This 253-nucleotide ribosomal RNA is filed under the name uncultured bacterium. RNAcentral describes it as "partial 16S ribosomal RNA". It matches the Rfam family "Bacterial small subunit ribosomal RNA", at positions 524 to 776 of the family's 1533-position model. The record is from RNAcentral.
UACGAAGGGGGCUAGCGUUGCUCGGAAUUACUGGGCGUAAAGCGCACGUAGGCGGCUUUGUAAGUUAGAGGUGAAAGCCUGGAGCUCAACUCCAGAACUGCCUUUAAAACUGCAUCGCUUGAAUCCAGGAGAGGUGAGUGGAAUUCCGAGUGUAGAGGUGAAAUUCGUAGAUAUUCGGAAGAACACCAGUGGCGAAGGCGGCUCACUGGACUGGUAUUGACGCUGAGGUGCGAAAGCGUGGGGAGCAAACAGG